Long non-coding RNA from Onychostoma macrolepis, 740 nucleotides. RefSeq lists it as uncharacterized. The transcript is spliced from 4 exons. Lineage: Eukaryota; Metazoa; Chordata; Actinopteri; Cypriniformes; Cyprinidae. The record is from RefSeq and is a predicted model, not a curated record.
CAGAUGCAUAAAAUGAUCUUUGACAUAAACGGCAAACAACUUGAAUGUGUAUCUACGCGCUGAUCAGUUUUGUCCCGUUUGCACAGCGCCGCAUUUCAGUCGCGCGCAUCUCGCGAGAGCGAUCACAUAAAAGCGCGUGAGCGCCGCUGUUUAAACUUCAACGGUUCACGGUGCGCUGAAUGCGCUCAGCACUCGGGAGAACGACGAUUACAUUGGUAAGUGAGAAUAUUAAUUAAUUUUAGCUUAUUUUAAUUAAUUUUACAUAAACCCUUGUCAUUUUUUACUUAGCAACCCGUUUCUUUCAAGAAGCUAAAAGAAGAAAGGUGGUUUAUCGCGUUGUCCAGGCCCGCGCAAUUCUCCGCCGGGAGAUUGGACCUAUACAUAUACAGGAAAAGAUUAAACAAAGUUUCAGUCAAAUCUCCGUCAGACUGCCGUUAUAAACAUGAAGAGAGAAGCAGCUGAUGGAGAUGUUUCAAUUUUUUUUGUGUGGAUAACUAUGUUCAUCUAUCUGAGAGAGCACUGUUAAAGUUUUAGCUCCAUCUUAUCAGAGAGCUGAAAAGUGGGAGUCAGAGGAAACAUGAUCAACCUGCUGCAAAACAACACAAAAGGUCUGGACUCUGGAGUGCAGCAUUACUUGUUUGGUCAUCUACAUUCAGAUGAAAACACCACACUUCUCUCUAAUUCAAGUAAGUUUUAAUGUAAUUGUGAGAGAUUAUUUUCUUUUUCCUGUUGUACUGUAC